GACGAACGCUGGCGGCGUGCUUAACACAUGCAAGUCGAACGGAAAGGCCCUGCUUUUGUGGGGUGCUCGAGUGGCGAACGGGUGAGUAACACGUGAGUAACCUGCCCUUGACUUUGGGAUAACUUCAGGAAACUGGGGCGAAUACCGGAUAGGAUCUCCUGCUGCAUGGUGGGGGUUGGAAAGUGUCGGCGGUUGGGGAUGGACUCGCGGCUUAUCAGCUUGUUGGUGGGGUAGUGGCUUACCAAGGCUUUGACGGGUAGCCGGCCUGAGAGGGUGAACGGCGACCUUGGGACUGAGAUACGGACCAGACUGCUACGGGAGGCAGCAGGGGGGAAUCUGGCACAAUGGGCGGAAGUCUGAUGCAGCAACGCCGCGUGCGGGAUGACGGCCUUCGGGUUGUAAACCGCUUUCGCAUGUGACGAAGCGUGAGUGACGGUAAUGGGUAAAGAAGCACCGGCUAACUACGUG
Molecule: ribosomal RNA, 468 nt
Filed under: uncultured bacterium
Lineage: Bacteria
Description: partial 16S ribosomal RNA
Rfam family: Bacterial small subunit ribosomal RNA
Source: RNAcentral